This 706-nucleotide ribosomal RNA is filed under the name uncultured bacterium. Its description in RNAcentral is "bacterial SSU rRNA". It matches the Rfam family "Bacterial small subunit ribosomal RNA", at positions 642 to 1357 of the family's 1533-position model. The record is from RNAcentral.
UAGAGAAUGACAGAGGCAACUGGAAUUCCACAUGUAGGGGUAAAAUCCGUUGAUAUGUGGAGGAACACCAAAAGCGAAGGCAGGUUGCUGGGUUAUUUCUGACGCUGAGGAACGAAAGCGUGGGGAGCAAACAGGAUUAGAUACCCUGGUAGUCCACGCCGUAAACGAUGGAUACUCGAUGUAGGGAGGAAUUGACCCCUCUCUGUGUCUAAGCUAACGCGUUAAGUAUCCCGCCUGGGGAGUACGGUCGCAAGAUUAAAACUCAAAGGAAUAGACGGGGACCCACACAAGCGGUGGAGCAUGUGGUUUAAUUCGACGAUAAACGGGGAACCUUACCAGGGCUUGACAUCUCCGGAAUCCCGAGGAAACUUGGGAGUGCCGUAAGGAACUGGAUGACAGGUGCUGCAUGGUCGUCGUCAGCUCGUGCCUUGAGGUGUUCGGUUAAGUCCGUAAACGAGCGCAACCCAUGUCCUAUGUUGCAUUUUUCAUAGGAGACUGCCGGCUCCAAGUCGGAGGAAGGUAUGGAUGACGUCAGAUCAGCAUGGCCCUUAUGGCCUGGGCUACACACGUGCUACAAUGGCCGGUACAAUGGGUAGCGAACCCGCAAGGGGGAGCCAAUCUCAUCAAAGCCGGUCUCAGUUCGGAUUGGGGGCUGAAAUUCGACCCCAUGGAGUUGGAAUCGCUAGUAACCGCGAAUCAGCUAUGU